Molecule: ribosomal RNA, 508 nt
Filed under: uncultured bacterium
Lineage: Bacteria
Description: bacterial SSU rRNA
Rfam family: Bacterial small subunit ribosomal RNA
Source: RNAcentral
UAUGGCUCAGGAUGAACGCUAGCUACAGGCUUAACAUAUGCAAGUCGAGGGGCAGCAGAUCGAAAGCUUGCUUUGAUGCUGGCGACCGGCGCACGGGUGAGUAACGCGUAUCCAACCUUCCCUAUAGUAGAGAAUAGCCCGGCGAAAGUCGGAUUAAUGCUCUAUGUUGUAUUUAGAAGACAUCUGAAGAAUACCAAAGGUUUACCGCUAUAGGAUGGGGAUGCGUCUGAUUAGGUUGUUGGCGGGGUAACGGCCCACCAAGCCUACGAUCAGUAGGGUCUGAGAGGAAGGUCCCCCACAUUGGAACUGAGACACGGUCCAAACUCCUACGGGAGGCAGCAGUGAGGAAUAUUGGUCAAUGGACGAAAGUCUGAACCAGCCAAGUAGCGUGCAGGAUGACGGCCCUAUGGGUUGUAAACUGCUUUUAUACAGGGAUAAAGUGAGGGACGUGUCCCUUUUUGUAGGUACUGUAUGAAUAAGGACCGGCUAAUUCCGUGCCAGCAGCCGC